CCUUAAAACACACAGAAAUCAAAGGUCGAAUAAACUAGAAAGUACUUGAAAUUAAUUUAAUAAUAAGAAUAAUCACAGGGAAGCAGCUUAUUCGAAAGCUUCUUAUUCGGAAAGAGGAUAAUCUUUAGUUCCUCGUAGGAGCAAUAUCUUGAAAAAAUCACAAACUUUCUGAUCGGGAAGUUGUUGAAGUACAACUUAAAAU
RNAcentral lists this long non-coding RNA (202 nucleotides) under Mytilus galloprovincialis (Mediterranean mussel). The record is from RNAcentral. Lineage: Eukaryota; Metazoa; Mollusca; Bivalvia; Mytilida; Mytilidae.